CCCUUAGAUGUUCUGGGCCGCACGCGCGCUACACUGAUGCAUUCAACGAGUCUAAAACCUGCUCUGAUAGGGGUGGGUAAUCUUUUGAAUGUGCAUCGUGAUUGGGAUAGAUGAUUGCAAUUUUUCAUCUUCAACGAGGAAUGCCUAGUAAACGCAAGUCAUCAGCUUGCAUUGAUUACGUCCCUGCCCUUUGUACACACCGCCCGUCGCUCCUACCGAUUGAAUGAUCCGAUGAAUAUCAUGGAUUGAGGAUGCAAGUAGGUUCGCCUAUCUUCAUCUUCGAGAAGUCAAGUAAAUCUUAUCAUUUAGAGGAAGGAGAAGUCGUAACA
This 329-nucleotide ribosomal RNA is filed under the name uncultured eukaryote. RNAcentral describes it as "partial 18S ribosomal RNA". It matches the Rfam family "Eukaryotic small subunit ribosomal RNA", at positions 1470 to 1796 of the family's 1831-position model. The record is from RNAcentral.